GACGAACCACACGAACGUUAUUCGGAAUUACUGGGCUUAAAGGGCGCGUAGGCGGGCCGGCAAGUCAGGGGUGAAAUCCCACGGCUCAACCGUGGAAGUGCCUUUGAUACUGCCGGUCUGGAGGGAGGUAGGGGCGUGCGGAACUUCCGGUGGAGCGGUGAAAUGCGUAGAUAUCGGAAGGAACACCGGUGGCGAAAGCGGCGCGCUGGACCUCUACUGACGCUGAGGCGCGAAAGCCAGGGGAGCAAACGGG
Molecule: ribosomal RNA, 253 nt
Filed under: uncultured bacterium
Lineage: Bacteria
Description: partial 16S ribosomal RNA
Rfam family: Bacterial small subunit ribosomal RNA
Source: RNAcentral